Molecule: ribosomal RNA, 255 nt
Filed under: uncultured bacterium
Lineage: Bacteria
Description: partial 16S ribosomal RNA
Rfam family: Bacterial small subunit ribosomal RNA
Source: RNAcentral
UACGUAGGUGGCGAGCGUUAUCCGGAAUCAUUGGGCGUAAAGCGCGUGUAGGCGGCUCGAUAAGUCCGCUCUGAAAGUCCAGGGCUCAACCCUGGGAUGCGGGUGGAUACUGUCGGGCUCGAGUCCGGAAGAGGCGAGUGGAAUUCCCGGUGUACGCGGUGAAAUGCGCAGAUAUCGGGAGGAACACCAAUGGCGAAGGCAGCUCGCUGGGACGUGACUGACGCUGAGACGCGAAAGCGUGGGGAGCAAACAGGG